RNAcentral lists this ribosomal RNA (636 nucleotides) under uncultured bacterium. RNAcentral describes it as "bacterial SSU rRNA". It matches the Rfam family "Bacterial small subunit ribosomal RNA", at positions 68 to 705 of the family's 1533-position model. The record is from RNAcentral.
GAGAUCACUUUGGUGGUCUAGUGGCGGACGGGUGAGUAACACAUGGGAAUCUGCCUUUUAGUGGGGGAUAACGUAGGGAAACUUACGCUAAUACCGCAUACGCUCUACGGAGGAAAGGGGGGGGAUCGCAAGACCUCUCGCUAAAAGAUGAGCCCAUGUCUGAUUAGCUAGUUGGUGGGGUAAGGGCCUACCAAGGCGACGAUCAGUAGCCGGCCUGAGAGGGUGUACGGCCACACUGGGACUGAGACACGGCCCAGACUCCUACGGGAGGCAGCAGUGGGGAAUAUUGGACAAUGGGCGAAAGCCUGAUCCAGCAAUGCCGCGUGUGUGAAGAAGGCCUUCGGGUUGUAAAGCACUUUAAGUGGGAAAGAAGUGCAUUCAAUUAAUACCUGGAUGUAUUGACGUUACCCACAGAAUAAGCACCGGCUAACUCCGUGCCAGCAGCCGCGGUAAUACGGAGGGUGCGAGCGUUAAUCGGAAUUACUGGGCGUAAAGCGUAUGUAGGCGGUUUGAUCAGUCGGAUGUGAAAUCCCCGAGCUUAACUUGGGAAUGGCAUUCGAUACUGUCAAGCUAGAGUAGUCUAGAGGAAAGGGGAAUUCCGCGUGUAAACAGUGAAAUGCGUAGAUAUGCGGAGGA